UCUUGGGAUCCCUCUCUGCUUUGCUUUUUUUUUUUUUUUUUUUUUUUUUUAAAUAGCUGCUGCGACCAGAGACCUCAGGGCCUCUCACCUCAGUUCCUUCUGGCCCGCCAGCUUGACUGUUUCUGUAGGUUUUGGCUAAAAGUGAUAUUUAGAAGCCUGCUUCAUGAUGGUGGCCUCUGAGGAGACAGGAGCAAACCUCAGCCCCUCCCCUAUGUGACCCCCUCCAGCUCCAGUAUAUGAGCCUCCAGCUGCUUAGCUCAGUCUAGGUUUUGCUUUCUAUGUGAACCACAGCUGAAUGUAACAGCUCAACUACCAGAUGUUCAAUACAUGUACACACACACACACACACACACGUGGUAUAAGCCACAGCUUGCUCUGACUAGUAUAAGGGAUGCCUUCCUUCUAGAUAAUUGUAAAACAUUCAACUUAAGGGACUCAUAGUUUUUAAUCUACAUUUUUUUAACAUUGUGAUAAAACCAGGCAUGAUGAUACACAUCUGUAAUCCUAAUACUUAUAAGACAAAGGCAAGAGGAUGGCUUCAAGUUCAAGGCCAUCCUGAGCUACAUAGUAAGAUGUCUCAAAAAAAAGGGGGGUGUCAGGGAUUCACGAUUCACAUAAGCCAAAGGAUUCAGCAGCAUGCAGGGUCUCAGCAUGGUCACUUAGCCAUCUAGCUUCACCACAUUCUUGAAGGAAGCUUCAUAUCCCCUUCUUUCUUACUCACCCCUGGAAACCACAAAUCCGUCUUUCCUAAUGGAAGUGCCUUUAAAAAAAAGUAUCCUACAAUGUAUCAGGCUCAUCUCAGCCUGAGGUCUUAGGGUUCAUCCAUACUAUAGCAUGUUAUCCUACAAUGUAUCAGGCUCAUCUCAGCUGGAGGUCUUAGGGUUCAUCCAUACUAUAGCAUGUUAUUCUACAAUGUAUCAGGCUCAUCUCAGCUGGAGGUCUUAGGGUUCAUCCAUACUAUAGCAUGUUAUCCUACAAUGUAUCAGGCUCAUCUCAGCUGGAGGUCUUAGGGUUCAUCCAUCUAUAGCAUGUUAUCCUACAAUGUAUCAGGCUCAUCUCAGCCUGAGGUUCAUCCAUACUAUAUAGCAUGUUCGGCUUUAUCACUUCUUAUGGGUGAGCGACACUCCAGUGUGUUUCAGCUCAAACUUGCUUCAGCACCACCAGUACUGGGAUCACAGGUAUGCACCACCAUACCCAGCUUCCCACUGUACUUUGUAUUAAACUCGGGCAGAAACAGGCAAGCACGAUAACCUCUUCUUGGCUCAACCCUGCCCUGUGUGACCUGCUUGAAAGCUGGUUCCAGAUGGCAUCCCAGAAAGGCAGGCCAGGGGCAAGAACCUCCAGCCACUGAGGACCCAAAUUUCCUGCAGACCCCUUCUGCUGUCCUCGCCCACCGUGGGCAAAUCCAAGAGGGACGCUAGAGCUGAGUCCCAGCCCCAGCUGGGCGCUGGAUGCUGGAACAAGAGGUCCACUUUAUGCUCUUCACAAUGCCCCAUUGUGCCCUUCUGCAGGGAGGACAAUGUUACCACUGCAAGGGGAAGCUGAGGACAAAGGGCUCUUUGUGAGGAUGGUCCCCACCUGAGCCACAGCACCCAGGGUCACACCUGAUGGCAGAGCGGUCCUUCCUCUCCUUCUAUUCCCUGCAUAGCUCUGGCUUCCAGAAAUAAUUUGAGGAAGUUGUGCCGACUAAAGCUGCCCCCCCCAAAGGUCUCUGCUGGCCCAUCCCAUGCCUGGCAUAUGCCAGUGAGGAGAGGCAGGGCUAAGGGUUCCUACUGAAAGAUCUGGAUGCAGGAUACACAGUUCCUUCAGUCUCUAAAUUCUUGAGACCUUGGGCAGAUGCUGGCCUGUAGGAAGCCUGGCAGGUGGGAAGUAUUUGUAUUACCUAUCACAACAUCUGUAAUGGGGCAUACUCUCAGCUGGGCUCCCAAGGGAGUGCUUCUGAAGAAAAAGAAAAGGAAACUUAAAAAAAAAAUACCCAAAGCACGUUGUAGGCUGUAUUUCUAUGCUAGCACUCUAGUAUCAGGAAGCCUGGAGGCCGGGAAGAGUCCCAGCAACAGCACACCAGUCCUUACCCACAAAAGGCUCACUGCUGGUGUAGAGGUAUAAAUAUUAAUGGGUUGUUUAACCAUGCAAGCAUUGGUCAUUUAUAUGUCAAAGCAGCAAUCACAAAAAGGAGAUGCUAAGGAUAAGUUGC
Molecule: long non-coding RNA, 2194 nt
Filed under: Mus musculus (house mouse)
Lineage: Eukaryota; Metazoa; Chordata; Mammalia; Rodentia; Muridae
Description: long non-coding RNA chr17:25575962-25578156
Source: RNAcentral